RNAcentral lists this transfer RNA (72 nucleotides) under Camelus bactrianus (Bactrian camel). It matches the Rfam family "tRNA". From Rfam's summary of the family: Transfer RNA (tRNA) molecules are approximately 80 nucleotides in length. The record is from Rfam by way of RNAcentral. Lineage: Eukaryota; Metazoa; Chordata; Mammalia; Artiodactyla; Camelidae. RNAcentral also lists the same sequence under 3 other names.
GGGUGUAUAGCUCAGUGGUAGACUGGGUGCUUAGCAUGCACAAGGUCCUGGGUUCAAUCCCCAGUAUCUUCA